CUACGGGAGGCUGCAGUGGGGAAUCUUGCGCAAUGGGCGAAAGCCUGACGCAGCAACGCCGCGUGCGGGAUGAAUGCCUUCGGGUUGUAAACCGCUUUUACCAGGAAGGAAAAUGACAGUACCUGGAGAAUAAGGUGCGGCCAACUACGUGCCAGCAGCCGCGGUGACACGUAGGCACCAAGCGUGUGUCCGGAUUUAUUGGGCGUAAAGAGCUCGUAGGCGGUUCAGUAAGUCGGGUGUGAAAACUCUGGGCUUAACCCAGAGACGCCACCCGAUACUGCUGUGACUUGAGUCCGGUAGGGGAGUGGGGAAUUCCUGGUGUAGCGGUGAAAUGCGCAGAUAUCAGGAGGAACACCAAUGGCGAAGGCACCACGCUGGGCCGGGACUGAAGCUGAGGAGCGAAAGCGUGGGUAGCAGACAGGAUUAGAUACCCCGGUAGUC
This 441-nucleotide ribosomal RNA is filed under the name uncultured bacterium. RNAcentral's name for it is "partial 16S ribosomal RNA". It matches the Rfam family "Bacterial small subunit ribosomal RNA", at positions 339 to 795 of the family's 1533-position model. The record is from RNAcentral.